This is an RNA transcript of Parasteatoda tepidariorum (common house spider), 1104 nucleotides long. RefSeq lists it as uncharacterized. NCBI's taxonomy places the organism in Eukaryota, Metazoa, Arthropoda, Arachnida, Araneae, Theridiidae. The record is from RefSeq and is a predicted model, not a curated record.
UCAAGUUAACAUGUCUUAUAUACUAGUGAAUUGGUAUUUAUUAUUUAUAGUGGUAGUUACACCACAGACUUAUUUAUCUUAGUAUAAAGAUUGUUGCUAAAAUUGUAAAAAAAAAGUAUAUUUUGUGUACUAGAAAUUGAAAUUUUGAACAUGCCUCCUGUUGAAGCAUGUAAUAAUUAUAAAAAAGAUGCUUUUAAGCUGAAAUAUCUACGAUUUACAUAGAAAUACUAAACUAUUGUCAAGAAAGCUUACUAGUAUUUUGCAGUUUCUCUAAAAAAAUUAAUAAAAUAAUGAUGAGCUUAAAUCAGGAGUUAUUCCCUAUCAAAACGUGUCUUUUUUAAAUAAUGACUUAAUCACUUCAAAUUUAAAUAAGCUCACUCACUCGUUCUCUCUGUAUAUCUAUGUAAAAAUGAAACUCAUUUUUGUGACAUUUGAUCCUGUUAUCUGAAAAUAAAUUAAGUUCAAAAAGAAGAUGUCCUGUUACAUGCAUUGUCGUCAGACGAUGAUUUUCAGUUUGGAAUCAUCGUUUUCGGAAAAUGAGAGAGAAUUUUAGGGUGUGAUAAAAAUUAUAGCAAAACCUUCAAAAAAUGACUGAAGCUUGCAUUAUCAUCCUGAAGAGAGCUCCAGCUUAAAUAUGAGAUCUCCAUCUAAUACUGUGAUUAAAAUUGUUUACUUUUUUAAGCAAUCUUGUCGAACAUGCUGUAAAUAUUGUAUUACUCGAUGAUAUAAACCUGUUUCAAAGUGAUAUUUUGUUAGAUCAGUACCCUGAUUCUAUCGACGACAGAGGUUAUCUAUUUACUCCUUAUGAACCCAUAGAAGAUGAACCCAUUCCAGAAGUAUCUCCACAAUCAAAAAUAACAUGUAUGUAUUGUUCUAAAGUAUUUGCACACAAACGAUAUUUAGUGGAUCAUUUAAAUACUCAUACAGGGAAAAAGCCGCACAUCUGUAAAUAUUGUUCUAAAGCUUUUACCCAAAGAGCAUCUAGAAAUCGGCAUGUAAAACUUUGUCACAAAGAUAUUAUAAGUCAAUUGAAUGAUAUAAACAAUUUAUUGUGAUCUAUAUUUCUGCUGUACUAUGUUUAAUAAAAUUGCUAUUGUCCAAGAA